This 278-nucleotide ribosomal RNA is filed under the name uncultured archaeon. Its description in RNAcentral is "partial 16S ribosomal RNA". It matches the Rfam family "Archaeal small subunit ribosomal RNA", at positions 87 to 349 of the family's 1478-position model. The record is from RNAcentral.
GGCUCAGUAACAAGUAGUCAAUCUGCCCUCAGGACGGGAGCAACCUCGGGAAACUGAGGUUAAUUCCCGAUGCUCCACCUAUGCUGGAAUGCUUGGUGGGGAAAAUACGCAGCAAAUUGCAGCUGUUGUGCCUGAGGAUGAGACUGCUCCUGAUUAGGUAGUUGGUGAGGUAACGGCUCACCAAGCCGAUAAUCAGUAGGGGCAAUGGGAGUUGGCGCCCCGAGAAGGGCACUGAGACAAGGGCCCUAGUCCUACGGGAUGCAGCAGGCGCGAAACCU